UCAACUGAUCGUCUCUCUCUCUCGACUGCUCUUCCGCCGCGGACGCUCGCCGGAGCAAGCAACGACAGGCUCCACCUCCUUUUUCCCUUUUUCGGCGACUGCAACGACAGCCACCGCCGUCUCUUAUCUCCCUCGAAACUUUCUCCGAUCUCCCUCUCUAUCGGUCUCUGGCUAACGCGCCUCCAGUCGAUGAAGGAUGCCGCCUUCAUUUCUACCCAAACCCGGCUCAGAGCGGCGACAAGGCCCUUGCCUCGCCGUCUCUCCCUCAGAUCUCCGGCCGACAGCAGCAGAUGAAGCAGGCUGUCGUCGAUUCUCCCUCGGCUCUCUCUCUCAAAAUCGAAACCCACACCUCACUCCGUCCGAGUCGUCUUCCUCCUUGGAAACGGUGAGAUCGCCGCUCCCUUCCUCUCUACUUUGCUCUCCCUCCGUCCGUGGCCGGACGACAGCGGCAGGGCCGCCGCGCCCAGUCCUCCCUCGGUGAAAACUCAACCACCGCCCCAACCCAUCUCUCUCUCUCUCUCUCUCUCUCUGUGACAGUGGCGAACCACCACCACCACCACUAGACGGACAGCAGCGAUGAGCCGCCGCCGCCUCCCUCGAUUCUCUCUCAUCCCCCCUCAGUCAGCCUCCACCCUC
Molecule: long non-coding RNA, 636 nt
Filed under: Salvia miltiorrhiza (redroot sage)
Lineage: Eukaryota; Viridiplantae; Streptophyta; Magnoliopsida; Lamiales; Lamiaceae
Description: long non-coding RNA (SMIL_LNC013155)
Source: RNAcentral